GACGAACGUUGGCGGCGUGCUUAAUACAUGCAAGUCCACUGAAGCAGUGGUAGCAAUAUCGCUGUGGAGGUGGCGCACGGGUGAGUAACACGUAGGUAAUCUGCCUUCAGGUCUGGCAUAACUCCGGGAAACCGGGGCUAAUAGCAGAUGAUGCAGCGGCUCGACAUCGAGACAGUUGUUAAAGCUAUGGCGCCUGAAGAUGAGCCUGCGUCUGAUUAGCUAGUUGGCGGGGUAACGGCCCACCAAGGCAACGAUCAGUAGCUGGUCUGAGAGGAUGAUCAGCCACACGGGAACUGAGACACGGUCCAGACUCCUACGGGAGGCAGCAGUAAGGAAUAUUGCUCAAUGGGAGAAAUCCUGAAGCAGCAACGCAGCGUGAGGGACGAAGGGCUUUUGCUUGUAAACCUCUGUAGUGAGAGAAAAAAAUCCCAAUCUUUGGGACAUGAUGGUAUCUCAAAAGUAAGCCCCGGCUAACUACGUG
This 481-nucleotide ribosomal RNA is filed under the name uncultured bacterium. RNAcentral's name for it is "partial 16S ribosomal RNA". It matches the Rfam family "Bacterial small subunit ribosomal RNA", at positions 28 to 507 of the family's 1533-position model. The record is from RNAcentral.